RNAcentral lists this ribosomal RNA (1065 nucleotides) under uncultured Cytophaga sp. Its description in RNAcentral is "bacterial SSU rRNA". It matches the Rfam family "Bacterial small subunit ribosomal RNA", at positions 335 to 1403 of the family's 1533-position model. The record is from RNAcentral. Lineage: Bacteria; Pseudomonadati; Bacteroidota; Cytophagia; Cytophagales; Cytophagaceae.
AUUCCUACGGGAGGCAGCAGUGAGGAAUAUUGGGCAAUGGGCGCAAGCCUGACCCAGCCAUGCCGCGUGCAGGAUGACGGCGCUAUGCGUUGUAAACUGCUUUUGUUUAGGAAGAAACCCAUCUACGUGUAGGUGGUUGACGGUACUGAAUGAAUAAGCAUCGGCUAACUCCGUGCCAGCAGCCGCGGUAAUACGGAGGAUGCAAGCGUUAUCCGGAUUCAUUGGGUUUAAAGGGUGCGUAGGCGGAGUACUAAGUCAGCGAUGAAAUCCUGCAGCUUAACUGUAGAACUGUCAUUGAUACUGGUAUUCUUGAAUGCAGUUGAGGUAGGCGGAAUGUGUAAUGUAGCGGCGAAAUGCUUAGAUAUUACACAGAACACCGAUUGCGAAGGCAGCUUACUAAACUGUGAUUGACGCUGAGGCACGAAAGCGUGGGGAGCAAACAGGAUUAGAUACCCUGGUAGUCCACGCCGUAAACUAUGAUUACUCGCUGUUGGCGAUACAUUGUCAGCGGCUGAGCGAAAGCAUUAAGUAAUCCACCUGGGGAGUACGAUCGCAAGGUUGAAACUCAAAGGAAUUGACGGGGGCCCGCACAAGCGGAGGAACAUGUGGUUUAAUUCGAUGAUACGCGAGGAACCUUACCUGGGCUUAAAUGUAGAGCGACAGACUGGGAAACUGGUCCUUCUUCGGACGAUCUACAAGGUGCUGCAUGGUUGUCGUCAGCUCGUGCCGUGAGGUGUCGGGUUAAGUCCCAUAACGAGCGCAACCCUUAUCGUUAGUUGCCAGCGGGUAAUGCCGGGGACUCUAGCGAAACUGCCGGUGUAAACCGUGAGGAAGGUGGGGAUGACGUCAAAUCAGCACGGCCCUUAUGUCCAGGGCGACACACGUGUUACAAUGGCCGGUACAGAGGGCAGCUACCUGGUAACAGGAUGCAAAUCUCCAAAACCGGUCUCAGUUCGGAUCGAAGUCUGCAACUCGACUUCGUGAAGCUGGAUUCGCUAGUAAUCGCGCAUCAGCCAUGGCGCGGUGAAUACGUUCCCGGGCCUUGUACACACCGCCAUCCAUAUG